Molecule: long non-coding RNA, 824 nt
Organism: Homo sapiens (human)
Lineage: Eukaryota; Metazoa; Chordata; Mammalia; Primates; Hominidae
Gene: DARS1-AS1
Product: DARS1 antisense RNA 1
Source: Ensembl
UAACAUGUAAAUGUUGAAUCUGCAUCUCACUUGAAAUGGUUGGGUUUGGAGAAACGGAUAGUCAAGCUUAUUGGAAUUAUUGUUAAAAAAGUAAUUUGAAGGCCUUCCCUGACUUAAAGUGGAUGCUGCUUUGGAAAGCACUGGAAAAAUGGAUCCUGUCUUUCUUAGCCAAGGACUGGUCUCUUUUCUCCAAUGUGUCCCUAACAGAGUGGUGAGGCUGGCUCUUCCCACCAGUACAGGAAGAUCAUUCCUUAAAAGAAAUAGCCAUAUGGCUUAUAAGGUAAGACUACUCAGUUCCCAUCCCAACCCCCAGAAGAGAAUGGAGGAAGGGAAGCAGACUCUGGCUAUAUUUUUAUGGCUGCACUCCAGGCAGUACUGCAGAGGCAACAGGCAGGCUCUGAAAUGCCUUCUUCCCCCUGCUAUCCUCAGGCCUGUGUUUCUCUCUUACUCCACCCAAGUCCUGGGCCCUUACAUGGCAGAGGGAGGGAGAAGGGCCAGCAACAUUGGUUAACAGGAAUAGAGAAUGUUCGAGGAAGGCAGUGGCAGGCAAUAGCCAUAGAGAGUCACAGAAGGUUAAAGAGGUUGUGGAAACAGUCAUUUGUUUUUCAAGCAGUUCCGGUGGGGUUUGAGAAAGCAGCAGCACUCAACUGUGAGCAGACAAACUCACUUUGGAAACCUAUGCAGCCACUUCUAAGUAAACUACCAAGAGAAUUAUUAUUUUAUUUAGGUUCCUCAUUUCAGUGACAAUCUUUUAAUCCUUUGAACUGUAUGCUGAAAAGGACAUUAUAGAUCCUCCUGAAAGAUAAUUUUUAGUGUCCACGGUU